GACGAACGCUGGCGGCGUGCUUAACACAUGCAAGUCGAGCGGUAAGGCCCUUUCGGGGGUACGACGAGCGGCGAACGGGUGAGUAACACGUGGGUGACCUGCCCUCAGCUCUGGGAUAAGCCUGGGAAACCGGGUCUAAUACUGGAUAUGACUCCAUGACGCAUGUUGUGGGGUGGAAAGCCUUGUGCGGCUGAGGAUGGGCCCGCGGCCUAUCAGCUUGUUGGUGGGGUGANGGCCUGCCAAGGCGACGACGGGUAGCCGGCCUGAGAGGGCGACCGGCCACACUGGGACUGAGACACGGCCCAGACUCCUACGGGAGGCAGCAGUGGGGAAUCUUGCGCAAUGGGCGAAAGCCUGACGCAGCGACGCCGCGUGAGGGAUGACGGCCU
This 389-nucleotide ribosomal RNA is filed under the name uncultured bacterium. RNAcentral describes it as "bacterial SSU rRNA". It matches the Rfam family "Bacterial small subunit ribosomal RNA", at positions 28 to 417 of the family's 1533-position model. The record is from RNAcentral.